GCCGAGCCUUGUAACGUGGACUUGUGACCCGGGGGGGGGGGGGGGGGGUCAAUAGUGUGGUGGGAUGUUGGGUUGUUUCUGAAGGCUGGGCUUUGGGUGGCUAAUGUCUGGCCUGCCCUAUCCAAGCAUGGGGUUGAGUCAUGUGGCCCAAACCUAAGUAUGGGCUGCUUGGCUCCUAGAGUGGGGCGGACUGUGUGAGGCUGGAUUCACAGAGCAACGAACAGCUCCCGCUCUGUGCAGUUGAAGGAUAACGGGCCAGUGCUCUCCAAGUCCAACAAAAACCUAAUGGGCUUCUCCAGUUAAACCACCACUUUU
This 315-nucleotide signal recognition particle RNA is filed under the name Nicotiana attenuata. RNAcentral's name for it is "SRP RNA Plant_SRP". It matches the Rfam family "Plant signal recognition particle RNA". Lineage: Eukaryota; Viridiplantae; Streptophyta; Magnoliopsida; Solanales; Solanaceae. The record is from Rfam by way of RNAcentral.